Molecule: unclassified non-coding RNA, 341 nt
Filed under: soil metagenome
Description: partial contains 5.8S ribosomal RNA, internal transcribed spacer 2, and large subunit ribosomal RNA
Rfam family: 5.8S ribosomal RNA (bases 1-120)
Source: RNAcentral
GAUGAAGAACGUAGCGAAAUGCGAUAAGUAAUGUGAAUUGCAGAAUUCAGUGAAUCAUCGAAUCUUUGAACGCACAUUGCGCCCGCCAGCACUCUGGCGGGCAUGCCUGUUCGAGCGUCAUUUCAACCAUCAAGCCCCCAGGGGCUUGUGCUGGGGCCCUGCGGCUGCCCGCAGGCCCUGAAAACCAGUGGCGGGCUCGCUAGUCACACCGAGCGCAGUAGCACAUCUCGCUCAGGGCGUGCGGCGGGCUCCUGCCGUGAAACCCCCCACUGUAACCCCAAAGGUUGACCUCGGAUCAGGUAGGAAUACCCGCUGAACUUAAGCAUAUCAAUAAGCGGGGA